UGUGUAGGCGGAUAAUUAAGUCAGAUGUGAAAGCCCAAGGCUCAACCUUGGAGGUGCAUUUGAUACUGGUUAUCUAGAGUGCGGGAGAGGAGAGUGGAAUUCCUAGUGUAGCGGUGAAAUGCGUAGAGAUUAGGAAGAACACCAGUGGCGAAGGCGACUCUCUGGACCGUAACUGACGCUGAGACACGAAAGCGUGGGAGCAAACA
RNAcentral lists this ribosomal RNA (206 nucleotides) under uncultured bacterium. RNAcentral describes it as "partial 16S ribosomal RNA". It matches the Rfam family "Bacterial small subunit ribosomal RNA", at positions 568 to 774 of the family's 1533-position model. The record is from RNAcentral.